AGAGAGGAUGUGUGCUGCAGGCUCCUGCCUGGGAACUGCCAGAGCACCAGACCAAAUAGGCCAGGUGUGCUGAGACCCAGGUGAAUACCCAGCUGCCUGCAGAAGCCCAUGAGGGGAAGGAGUCAUCGGGAACUUCACCAGCCAACUAUCCCAGAGGACCUGUGGACUACAGCCCAGGAAGACAGGCUGCCAUUACAGACUCUAAUGAGCAGAGAGCAGGAGCAGGAGCAAAGCAGCUCAGUGGAGGAACCACCACAGGCAGCUUGCCCAAGGAGCCAUGCACAGACAGCUCCACUGACAGCAAAAGGAAAAGAGCCAGCAGCAUCACCAUCAAGCAAUGUUGUGAUGUGAAGCCAUAAACAUCCUGUGACGGCACAAGCUGCUGCCUCUGCGGCCUGGAGGGGUGCCCCUCCACACACACUAAGUGACUAACCCUGAGGAGGAGGAGAAAGAUUCAGGAGUAUAUGUUCAGUGAGAUGCUGCAACAGACCAUGAACAGAGGACCUGGAGAGUGAAUACUGAAGAUAGUAUGGAGAAGGAAAGAGUGGACAGGAGAAAGGCCCAGGAGUCCCCUCAGGAAGAGGAAAGGGGCAUGCACCAGAACAUAAUGGGGCUUUUCUGGAACAAACACAAAUGCUGAAGGCUCUUGUGGAGCUACAGGUUCAACAAGCACAGGCUCACCUCCCUUUGCAGUCAAUGGAGAACUCCAUUUUAGCACCACACCUCACCUCACCACAUUCCACGUGGCAUCAAAGGCACAUCCCUACCCCUACCAUUCCAAGCCGGGGGACAGUAAGGA
This is a long non-coding RNA of Mauremys mutica (yellowpond turtle), 799 nucleotides long. RefSeq lists it as uncharacterized. The transcript is spliced from 4 exons. Lineage: Eukaryota; Metazoa; Chordata; Testudines; Geoemydidae. The record is from RefSeq and is a predicted model, not a curated record.